GAGAGCGAGCGACUCAUAAUCGCCAGGUCGCUGGUUCAAAUCCAGCAAGGGCCACCA
RNAcentral lists this transfer RNA (57 nucleotides) under Escherichia coli 8.0586. RNAcentral describes it as "partial tRNA-Leu". It matches the Rfam family "tRNA", at positions 18 to 71 of the family's 71-position model. Rfam says of the family: Transfer RNA (tRNA) molecules are approximately 80 nucleotides in length. Their secondary structure includes four short double-helical elements and three loops (D, anti-codon, and T loops). RNAcentral also lists the same sequence under 1 other name. Lineage: Bacteria; Pseudomonadati; Pseudomonadota; Gammaproteobacteria; Enterobacterales; Enterobacteriaceae. The record is from RNAcentral.